GAUGAACGCUGGCGGCGUGCCUAAUACAUGCAAGUCGAGCGAACGGACGAGAAGCUUGCUUCUCUGAUGUUAGCGGCGGACGGGUGAGUAACACGUGGAUAACCUACCUAUAAGACUGGGAUAACUUCGGGAAACCGUAGCUAAUACCGGAUAAUAUUUUGAACCGCAUGGUUCAAAAGUGAAAGACGGUCUUGCUGUCACUUAUAGAUGGAUCCGCGCUGCAUUAGCUAGUUGGUAAGGUAACGGCUUACCAAGGCAACGAUGCAUAGCCGACCUGAGAGGGUGAUCGGCCACACUGGAACUGAGACACGGUCCAGACUCCUACGGGAGGCAGCAGUAGGGAAUCUUCCGCAAUGGGCGAAAGCCUGACGGAGCAACGCCGCGUGAGUGAUGAAGGUCUUCGGAUCGUAAAGCUCUGUUAUUAGGGAAGAACAUAUGUGUAAGUAACUGUGCACAUCUUGACGUUACCUAAUCAGAAAGCCACGGCUAACUACGUG
RNAcentral lists this ribosomal RNA (497 nucleotides) under uncultured bacterium. Its description in RNAcentral is "partial 16S ribosomal RNA". It matches the Rfam family "Bacterial small subunit ribosomal RNA", at positions 28 to 507 of the family's 1533-position model. The record is from RNAcentral.